This 253-nucleotide ribosomal RNA is filed under the name uncultured bacterium. RNAcentral's name for it is "partial 16S ribosomal RNA". It matches the Rfam family "Bacterial small subunit ribosomal RNA", at positions 524 to 776 of the family's 1533-position model. The record is from RNAcentral.
UACGUAGGUGGCAAGCGUUGUCCGGAUUUACUGGGCGUAAAGAGCGCGCGGGCGGUCGAGUAAGUCGAAUGUGAAAGCCCCCGGCUUAACUGGGGAGGGUCAUUCGAUACUGUUCGACUUGAAGGCAGGAGAGGGCAGCAGAAUUCCCGGUGUAGUGGUGAAAUGCGUAGAUAUCGGGAGGAAUACCAGUGGCGAAGGCGGCUGCCUGGCCUGUUCUUGACGCUGAGGCGCGAAAGCUGGGGGAGCAAACGGG